Anastrepha obliqua is the source of this 253-nucleotide long non-coding RNA. RefSeq lists it as uncharacterized. Lineage: Eukaryota; Metazoa; Arthropoda; Insecta; Diptera; Tephritidae. The record is from RefSeq and is a predicted model, not a curated record. The transcript has 4 exons.
GGCGAACCGUUUUUGAACGUGUUUAUUGAAAGCGGUCUAACUAAGGAAUCAUUGAAGCUCCUAAAGCCAAGCCAUUUGGAUACAUUGAUCGACACAUCGCAGUUUGGACCAAGGGUAAUUUUUGAGCAUAAUCUGCUCAAUUGGCAAGCGCAACAGGGAAUAAAAACACAAGCCAUUCACACUGAGGCAUGCGCUUUAUUGGCAAAUGAAUAUCGUGGCGAGGAAUCUUUUGAAGCAAUACUCAGUAAGCCGG